UAGGGAAUCUUCCACAAUGGACGCAGGUCUGAUGGAGCAACGCCGCGUGAGUGAAGAAGGGUUUCGGCUCGUAAAGCUCUGUUGUUAAAGAAGAACGUGGGUAAGAGUAACUGUUUACCCAGUGACGGUAUUUAACCAGAAAGUCACGGCUAACUACGUACCAG
This 164-nucleotide ribosomal RNA is filed under the name uncultured bacterium. RNAcentral's name for it is "partial 16S ribosomal RNA". It matches the Rfam family "Bacterial small subunit ribosomal RNA", at positions 355 to 511 of the family's 1533-position model. The record is from RNAcentral.